Pseudoliparis swirei is the source of this 580-nucleotide long non-coding RNA. RefSeq lists it as uncharacterized. The transcript has 4 exons. The record is from RefSeq and is a predicted model, not a curated record. NCBI's taxonomy places the organism in Eukaryota, Metazoa, Chordata, Actinopteri, Perciformes, Liparidae.
GAAAAUUCAUUUUUGGAUCAGGAGUUGCCAAGAACUGAAAGAUGGAUCAUGGAGGUCUGGAUCUGUGGGAAGAAGUUGGCGUCCUGGUCCAUGAGCUGGAGGAGGGGUCCCCAGCUGUGCUCAGCGCCUCUCUCUCCACACAGCGGUCAUAGUGCGCCGCCUGCUGGAAUGUGGGCGGAGCUGUGAAAGAUCCUUCUGUCCUCUCGUCGGCCGCUCACCAAUCCUGACCCAGUGACGUAGACGGCCUCUCCGCCUAGAUUCCCCAGCAGCCUCUUGGGUUCCUCAGCAGGGCGGGCAGAACCUGAAGUGGGUCAGACCGCGUAAGACCAGGUUCUGGACCCGAGUGCAGUUCAGGGCAGCUCCCAGACCUGUGUUUCUGUGUUUCCUGCCCAGAGAGAGAGGCGUUUAAACCCGGUUGUCGGUUCCCUCACGUGGUCCCGGCUCCAGCACCCUGAUAGAGGCCCUCUGCGGGUAGAAGGCCUCAUAUACCCCUCAGGAACAUAGUAUAGUUGUGUUAUUUCGAUAGCACAUAUACUAAAAUUGGAACGAUACAGAGAAGAUUAGCAUGGCCCCUGCGCAA